GAAAUGCGAUACGUAAUGUGAAUUGCAAAUUCAGUGAAUCAUCGAGUCUUUGAACGCACAUUGCGCCCCUUGGUAUUCCGGGGGGCAUGCCUGUCCGAGCGUCAUUUCUGCCCUCAAGCACGGCUUGUGUGUUGGGCCCCGUCCUCCGAUCCCGGGGGACGGGCCCAAAAGGCAGCGGCGGCACCGCGUCCGGUCCUCGAGCGUAUGGGGCUUUGUCACCCGCUCUGUAGGCCCGGCCGGCGCUUGCCGAUCAACCCAAAUUUUUAUCCAGGUUGACCUCGGAUCAGGUAGGGAUACCCGCUGAACUUAAGC
Molecule: unclassified non-coding RNA, 312 nt
Filed under: plant metagenome
Description: partial contains 5.8S ribosomal RNA, internal transcribed spacer 2, and large subunit ribosomal RNA
Rfam family: 5.8S ribosomal RNA (bases 1-104)
Source: RNAcentral